CGGCCGGCCCGGGCGACCGAAGCGAAAGCAGGGUGGCAGGGAGGGAGGAAGGCGGAGGGCCGGCGCCGCGGCCCGCGGCUCACUGCGCCUGCGUCGGAGCUUCCCCCCACGUGGGGCGCGCUCCGCUUCCUUCUGCGCCUGCGCGCGAACGGCUCCUCUCGGGACCCACGUGCGGCCGGGGAUUUUAGCCCUGCGGUAGCAGCUGAAAUGGGAGGCGAGACUCCCCGGAGAGUAGCCGGAGCCGCUGUCGGAGGCGUCCUGCCGGGAGGAGCGCCCCCAGGAAAGGUGCUCUUCUCAGCAAGGGAAUCUGUAUGAUGUGACAUCGGUUGUUGGAGCAGAACAUUGGCUGAGCAGCCUACUAGGAGGCUAUCAAGAGACUUGGAUUUGGAAAGAAAUCUACCCUCAAUGUCAGUGCUCUUUGGAUGACAUCUUGAAGACUUCUUUGACAUUAUAUGGUUUCCAGUGGAUUUCAUGAAAUUUUAUAUCCAGUAGUUGCUUGGCAAAAGUAUUUUAGGAUUGUGUGUUUGAUCAUAUGUUUACUGUAAACAUUCUGCUAAAAGGUUUAUUUUAAUGUAGCCCUAGCCAAGAGAUCUUUGGGAUCAGUUAUAAUGGAUGUUCUAACCCUUGGCCAUAUCCUUGUAUACUUUGGAAAGGAAAGGCCUAAAAGUAAAUGGUAGAAUUGACACUAGCAUGUGCAAAAGUAUUUGUUGCCCCACUGUUUCCAGAAUUACAAAGUCCUUUUUUUCCCUGUCAAAAAUACCCUGCCCAUCUUGCAUUAGUGUCUUGGCAACUCUCAUCACUUGCAGUGGUAGCCUCAGGCAAAAAGUCAUUCUAACAUUGAGAACAAUAAAAGUUGGAGCUGAAAAAGGAAGAGUGACCUAUGUCAUUGCUUAAUUAUAAAGAGCUAUAACGACUUCUUGUUUCUAAGAACAUUGCUAAGCUGUUCUGAUCAACUAAAUGAAGCAUGCAGAGUUCAGUGUUUGUGCUAAUUAAAUUUCUUAUCUGGGUGUAGAGUAUAGCAACUGAAGGCAUUGAUUUUAAGCUCAUUUUAAUUAAAAUCUCAAAGUAUGUUUUUGUUCCUUUGUGUUAUAUAAAGCUUUACCCACAAAUAAAAUUGUAAAACCAUUUGCAAAAAA
Long non-coding RNA from Sarcophilus harrisii (Tasmanian devil), 1136 nucleotides. RefSeq lists it as uncharacterized. Lineage: Eukaryota; Metazoa; Chordata; Mammalia; Dasyuromorphia; Dasyuridae. The transcript has 5 exons. The record is from RefSeq and is a predicted model, not a curated record.